AACACGUGAGUAACCUGCCCUUAACUCUGGGAUAAGCCUGGGAAACUGGGUCUAAUACCGGAUAUGACCUUCUGCCGCAUGGUGGGGGGUGGAAAGCUUUAUUGUGGUUUUGGAUGGACUCGCGGCCUAUCAGCUUGUUGGUGAGGUAAUGGCUCACCAAGGCGACGACGGGUAGCCGGCCUGAGAGGGUGACCGGCCACACUGGGACUGAGACACGGCCCAGACUCCUACGGGAGGCAGCAGUGGGGAAUAUUGCACAAUGGGCGCAAGCCUGAUGCAGCGACGCCGCGUGAGGGAUGACGGCCUUCGGGUUGUAAACCUCUUUCAGUAGGGAAGAAGCGAAAGUGACGGUACCUGCAGAAGAAGCGCCGGCUAACUACGUGCCAGCAGCCGCGGUAAUACGUAGGGCGCAAGCGUUAUCCGGAAUUAUUGGGCGUAAAGAGCUCGUAGGCGGUUUGUCGCGUCUGCCGUGAAAGUCCGGGGCUCAACUCCGGAUCUGCGGUGGGUACGGGCAGACUAGAGUGAUGUAGGGGAGACUGGAAUUCCUGGUGUAGCGGUGAAAUGCGCAGAUAUCAGGAGGAACACCGAUGGCGAAGGCAGGUCUCUGGGCAUUAACUGACGCUGAGGAGCGAAAGCAUGGGGAGCGAACAGGAUUAGAUACCCUGGUAGUCCAUGCCGUAAACGUUGGGCACUAGGUGUGGG
Molecule: ribosomal RNA, 702 nt
Filed under: Arthrobacter sp. A19MT1
Lineage: Bacteria; Bacillati; Actinomycetota; Actinomycetes; Micrococcales; Micrococcaceae
Description: bacterial SSU rRNA
Rfam family: Bacterial small subunit ribosomal RNA
Source: RNAcentral